RNAcentral lists this ribosomal RNA (403 nucleotides) under Verrucomicrobiota bacterium. RNAcentral describes it as "Verrucomicrobia bacterium partial 16S ribosomal RNA". It matches the Rfam family "Bacterial small subunit ribosomal RNA", at positions 355 to 776 of the family's 1533-position model. The record is from RNAcentral. Lineage: Bacteria; Pseudomonadati; Verrucomicrobiota.
UGGGGAAUAUUGCACAAUGGGGGAAACCCUGAUGCAGCGACGCCGCGUGAGCGAAGAAGGUUUUCGAAUCGUAAAGCUCUGUCCUAUGAGAAGAUAAUGACGGUAUCAUAGGAGGAAGCCCCGGCUAAAUACGUGCCAGCAGCCGCGGUAAUACGUAUGGGGCGAGCGUUGUCCGGAAUUAUUGGGCGUAAAGGGUACGUAGGCGGUCUAUUAAGUCAGGUGUGAAAGCGUGAGGCUUAACCUCAUUAAGCACUUGAAACUGAUAGACUUGAGUGAAGGAGAGGAAAGUGGAAUUCCUAGAGUAGCGGUGAAAUGCGUAGAUAUUAGGAGGAAUACCGGUGGCGAAGGCGACUUUCUGGACUUUUACUGACGCUCAGGUACGAAAGCGUGGGGAGCAAACAGG